Molecule: ribosomal RNA, 1782 nt
Filed under: Anisonema sp.
Lineage: Eukaryota; Euglenozoa; Anisonemea; Anisonemida; Anisonematidae
Description: SSU rRNA
Rfam family: Eukaryotic small subunit ribosomal RNA
Source: RNAcentral
AUCUGGUUGAUCCUGCCAGUCGUGAUAUGCUUCUUUCAAGGAUUAAGCCAUGCAUGUUUCAGAGUACGCGAAUGCCAAGCCAACAGCGGGUCUGCGAAUGGCUCAUUAAAUUCGGUUAUUACCUGCCCGGUAGAGCUUUCGGUGACCUUGUGUCAAUCUGCUAUAGCCUUCUGGAUAACCGUCCCAAAUGGGUGGCUAAUACACGUUAGAACAAUGUUCGGUCUGGCAUGGCUUCGGCUGUGUAGCCUUCUGGCUCUGGGGCAACCUUGGGUCUGAAGGCAUGACGGGCAUGUGGUCGACCGCAUCAAAGGUUGGCGCUCUCCUUGCGGGAGCAGCUUGCAUCGAUGAAUCAGGUCGAUCUUGUCGUACGGCGAAGGCAGAGUGACCGCAGUGUGUCGCUGCGAAACCGGCUGGAUUCCCGCCCUAUCAUGUUCACGAUGGUAGUGUAUUGGACUACCAUGACUUUGACGGGUAACGGGGAAUUUGGGUUUGAUUCCGGAGAGGGGGCCUGAGAGAUGGCCACCACGACUAAGGUUGGCAGCAGGCGCGCAAAUUGCCCACUGGAGAUUCAUGUCCGAGGCAGCGACGAAGAAUGGCAAUAGUGCAUGUGGUUUCCACAAGUGCUGUUCGCAAUGGAUGACAUCCAAACUACUCAGUGAGUAUCAACAGGAGGGCAAGUCUGGUGCCAGCAGCCGCGGUAAUUCCAGCUCCUGCAGUGUAUACAAGUAUUGCUGCUGUUAAAACGCUCGUAGUCGAUUGCAGAACGGUGGGAUCUGACGUAACUUUAUGCUUGCAUCUUGUAGUCAGCUUGCUCGCUGUUCGCCUAACACGGAACUGGUUUCUUUUGUCGGCGUCUUCUUCGGUGAUUACGUUUGGCAGCUCCCGCAUUGCAAUCAUGCAUCGGGGCUCAAGAAUAUGGGGCGUCCGUGGCCAACACCAUGAACAAAACAGAGUGUUCAACGCGGCCGACAAGCUCGGUGGCAUGAUCAAGCAUGGGAUGUUAGGGGAUCGACCAGCGUGACGGUUCGUUCUGCCUACCUUUGGACGUCCAUUGGGCAACCAGGGGGAAUGGUGCUAUGCCAGCCGGUGUCUUCCACUCCGGUGGUUGGCAGCGUGGUGUAGCUACUAGCCUCCAAUCGGAACUGAAGAGCAUGAUCGGGGCCCUGUGUAUUGUUGGGCGAGAGGUGAAAUUCUAUGACCCCAGCAGGACAAACUGCAGCGAAAGCGCUCUUUGGCAAGUUCAUGACUGUCGAUCAAGAACGAGAGUGUGGUGAUCGAAGAUGAUCAGAUACCGUCGUAGUCCAUUUCCGUCAACGCUGCCGGCAUGGGGUCGGAUCUGCUGAUCUUCGGAGAACAGGUUCGAUCCCCCUCCAUCAACGAGAAAUCCAAAGCUUAUGGGUUCAGGGGGGAGUACAUUCGCAAGGCUGAAACUUGAAGGAAUUGACGGAAUGACACCACCAGGCGUGGAGUCUGCGGCUUAAUUUGACUCAACGCGGGGAAUGUUACCGGGCCAGGACGCAGCGAGGAUGGACAGAUUGAUAGCUCUUUCUAGAUCCUUUGGAGGGUGGUGCAUGGCCGCUCCUGGUUCGUGGAGUGAUCCGUCUGGUUGAUUCCGAUAACGAGCGAGAUCUUUGCCUCUAUGUAGUGGUUGGCUCGCUUUAGAGCUGCACUCGGCUGCCUCGGUAGUCGUUGCCUGUAGACUCGAGAGCCUUUAUACACUUCUCAGAGGAUCUGUAUGCGUCAAAAGCAUGUGUAAGCACGAGGCGACAGCAGGUCUGUGAU